AACGAACGCUGGCGGCGUACUUAACACAUGCAAGUCGGACGAGAAAGGAAGCCUCGGCUUCUGAGUAAAGUGGCGUACGGGUGCGUAACACGUAAGUAAUCUACCCUGGACUCUGGGAUAACUCCCCCGAAAGGGGGGCUAAGACUGGAUAGAGACCUGAGGUGCAAGCCUUGGGAGGGAAAACAAGCCUCUGCAUCAUGCUUGUGGUUCAGGAUGAGCUUGGUGGCCCAUUAGCUAGUUGGCGGGGUAAUGGCUCACCAAGGCAACGAUGGGUAGCUGGUCUGAGAGGACGAUCAGCCACACUGGCACUGAGAUA
Molecule: ribosomal RNA, 316 nt
Filed under: uncultured bacterium
Lineage: Bacteria
Description: bacterial SSU rRNA
Rfam family: Bacterial small subunit ribosomal RNA
Source: RNAcentral